RNAcentral lists this ribosomal RNA (1530 nucleotides) under Escherichia coli. Its description in RNAcentral is "bacterial SSU rRNA". It matches the Rfam family "Bacterial small subunit ribosomal RNA". The record is from RNAcentral. Lineage: Bacteria; Pseudomonadati; Pseudomonadota; Gammaproteobacteria; Enterobacterales; Enterobacteriaceae.
AGAGUUUGAUCAUGGCUCAGAUUGAACGCUGGCGGCAGGCCUAACACAUGCAAGUCGAACGGUAACAGGAAACAGCUUGCUGUUUCGCUGACGAGUGGCGGACGGGUGAGUAAUGUCUGGGAAACUGCCUGAUGGAGGGGGAUAACUACUGGAAACGGUAGCUAAUACCGCAUAACGUCGCAAGACCAAAGAGGGGGACCUUCGGGCCUCUUGCCAUCGGAUGUGCCCAGAUGGGAUUAGCUAGUAGGUGGGGUAACGGCUCACCUAGGCGACGAUCCCUAGCUGGUCUGAGAGGAUGACCAGCCACACUGGAACUGAGACACGGUCCAGACUCCUACGGGAGGCAGCAGUGGGGAAUAUUGCACAAUGGGCGCAAGCCUGAUGCAGCCAUGCCGCGUGUAUGAAGAAGGCCUUCGGGUUGUAAAGUACUUUCAGCGGGGAGGAAGGGAGUAAAGUUAAUACCUUUGCUCAUUGACGUUACCCGCAGAAGAAGCACCGGCUAACUCCGUGCCAGCAGCCGCGGUAAUACGGAGGGUGCAAGCGUUAAUCGGAAUUACUGGGCGUAAAGCGCACGCAGGCGGUUUGUUAAGUCAGAUGUGAAAUCCCCGGGCUCAACCUGGGAACUGCAUCUGAUACUGGCAAGCUUGAGUCUCGUAGAGGGGGGUAGAAUUCCAGGUGUAGCGGUGAAAUGCGUAGAGAUCUGGAGGAAUACCGGUGGCGAAGGCGGCCCCCUGGACGAAGACUGACGCUCAGGUGCGAAAGCGUGGGGAGCAAACAGGAUUAGAUACCCUGGUAGUCCACGCCGUAAACGAUGUCGACUUGGAGGUUGUGCCCUUGAGGCGUGGCUUCCGGAGCUAACGCGUUAAGUCGACCGCCUGGGGAGUACGGCCGCAAGGUUAAAACUCAAAUGAAUUGACGGGGGCCCGCACAAGCGGUGGAGCAUGUGGUUUAAUUCGAUGCAACGCGAAGAACCUUACCUGGUCUUGACAUCCACGGAAGUUUUCAGAGAUGAGAAUGUGCCUUCGGGAACCGUGAGACAGGUGCUGCAUGGCUGUCGUCAGCUCGUGUUGUGAAAUGUUGGGUUAAGUCCCGCAACGAGCGCAACCCUUAUCCUUUGUUGCCAGCGGUCCGGCCGGGAACUCAAAGGAGACUGCCAGUGAUAAACUGGAGGAAGGUGGGGAUGACGUCAAGUCAUCAUGGCCCUUACGACCAGGGCUACACACGUGCUACAAUGGCGCAUACAAAGAGAAGCGACCUCGCAAGAGCAAGCGGACCUCAUAAAGUGCGUCGUAGUCCGGAUUGGAGUCUGCAACUCGACUCCAUGAAGUCGGAAUCGCUAGUAAUCGUGGAUCAGAAUGCCACGGUGAAUACGUUCCCGGGCCUUGUACACACCGCCCGUCACACCAUGGGAGUGGGUUGCAAAAGAAGUAGGUAGCUUAACCUUCGGGAGGGCGCUUACCACUUUGUGAUUCAUGACUGGGGUGAAGUCGUAACAAGGUAACCGUAGGGGAACCUGCGGUUGGAUCACCU